CCCUUAGAUGUCCUGGGCUGCACGCGCGCUACACUGAUGUGUCCAGUAAGCACCUAACCUCUUCCGAAAGGAACGGGUAACCUUUGCAAAGCACAUCGUGAUGGGGAUAGAUUAUUGCACUUAUUAGUCUUGAACGAGGAAUUCCUAGUAAGCACAAGUCAUCAGCUUGUGUUGAUUACGUCCCUGCCCUUUGUACACACCGCCCGUCGCUCCUACCGAUUGAAUGUUCCGGUGAGCUCUUCGGACUGCGCGGUCUGCAGUUUCUGCGUUCCGUGCGGAAAGUUGCGCAAACCUUAACAUUUAGAGGAAGGAGAAGUCGUAACA
Molecule: ribosomal RNA, 324 nt
Filed under: uncultured eukaryote
Lineage: Eukaryota
Description: partial 18S ribosomal RNA
Rfam family: Eukaryotic small subunit ribosomal RNA
Source: RNAcentral